AGACCGGUUUUUGAUACUCCACAGUCCAAUGUUGCGGGGGAGGAAGGCAAAAAGACCCCGUGGUCUACCUGUUUUAGAUGAGGAGAAUGAGGUCGCCGAGCAGUCUGUGGAUCGUGAAAGUAACCCAGAUGCCUCAUACCCAGACACUGCAACUCCUGCUAGCUGUUCUCUGGACAGACCAAGUGAAAGUGAAAAAGGACUCUAGGCAGCUGUUGAGGAAUCACCGGUGGACAACCUGUUGAAACGGAUAGAAGCAUUAGAGCAAGAACGUGACUUUCUUAGCCACACUCUUGCAUCCGUCUGUGGUGAGUAAUGCUUAGCUAUGUAAGA
Long non-coding RNA from Triplophysa rosa, 330 nucleotides. RefSeq lists it as uncharacterized. NCBI's taxonomy places the organism in Eukaryota, Metazoa, Chordata, Actinopteri, Cypriniformes, Nemacheilidae. The record is from RefSeq and is a predicted model, not a curated record. The transcript has 4 exons.